GCUGUCCGAGUUGUAAUCUAGAGAAGUGUUUUCCGUGCUGGACCGUGUACAAGUCCUUUGGAACAAGGCGUCAUAGAGGGUGAGAAUCCCGUCUACGACACGGACUGCCAGUGCUCUGUGAUACACUCUCAACGAGUCGAGUUGUUUGGGAAUGCAGCUCAAAAUGGGUGGUAAAUUCCAUCUAAAGCUAAAUACAGGCGAAAGACCGAUAGCGAACAAGUACCGUGAGGGAAAGAUGAAAAGCACUUUGGAAAGAGAGUUAAACAGUACGUGAAAUUGUUGAAAGGGAAACGCUUGAAGUCAGUCGCGUCUUCAGAAAUUCAGCCUGGCUUCU
RNAcentral lists this ribosomal RNA (334 nucleotides) under Geastrum dolomiticum. Its description in RNAcentral is "Geastrum sp. DGK-2020a partial large subunit ribosomal RNA". It matches the Rfam family "Eukaryotic large subunit ribosomal RNA", at positions 133 to 464 of the family's 3401-position model. The record is from RNAcentral. Lineage: Eukaryota; Fungi; Basidiomycota; Agaricomycetes; Geastrales; Geastraceae.